UACAGAGGUCCCGAGCGUUGUUCGGAUUCACUGGGCGUAAAGGGUGCGUAGGUGGGUUGAUAAGUCAGUGGUGAAAUCCCCGAGCUUAACUUGGGAACUGCCAUUGAUACUAUUGAUCUUGAAUACCGUGGAGGUCAGCGGAAUAUGUCAUGUAGCGGUGAAAUGCUUAGAUAUGACAUAGAACACCAAUUGCGAAGGCAGCUGGCUACGCGAAUAUUGACACUGAUGCACGAAAGCGUGGGGAUCAAACAGG
Molecule: ribosomal RNA, 253 nt
Filed under: uncultured bacterium
Lineage: Bacteria
Description: partial 16S ribosomal RNA
Rfam family: Bacterial small subunit ribosomal RNA
Source: RNAcentral